GCGGAGCUUGCUCCGCUGGAUCAGUGGCGAACGGGUGAGUAACACGUGAGCAAUCUGCCCCUGACUCUGGGAUAAGCGCUGGAAACGGCGUCUAAUACCGGAUACGAGCUGCGAAGGCAUCUUCAGCAGCUGGAAAGAACUUCGGUCAGGGAUGAGCUCGCGGCCUAUCAGCUAGUUGGUGAGGUAACGGCUCACCAAGGCGUCGACGGGUAGCCGGCCUGAGAGGGUGACCGGCCACACUGGGACUGAGACACGGCCCAGACUCCUACGGGAGGCAGCAGUGGGGAAUAUUGCACAAUGGGCGCAAGCCUGAUGCAGCAACGCCGCGUGAGGGACGACGGCCUUCGGGUUGUAAACCUCUUUUAGCAGGGAAGAAGCGAAAGUGACGGUACCUGCAGAAAAAGCGCCGGCUAACUACGUGCCAGCAGCCGCGGUAAUACGUAGGGCGCAAGCGUUAUCCGGAAUUAUUGGGCGUAAAGAGCUCGUAGGCGGUCUGUCGCGUCUGCUGUGAAAACCCGAGGCUCAACCUCGGGCCUGCAGUGGGUACGGGCAGACUAGAGUGCGGUAGGGGAGAUUGGAAUUCCUGGUGUAGCGGUGGAAUGCGCAGAUAUCAGGAGGAACACCGAUGGCGAAGGCAGAUCUCUGGGCCGUAACUGACGCUGAGGA
Molecule: ribosomal RNA, 666 nt
Filed under: Microbacterium saccharophilum
Lineage: Bacteria; Bacillati; Actinomycetota; Actinomycetes; Micrococcales; Microbacteriaceae
Description: bacterial SSU rRNA
Rfam family: Bacterial small subunit ribosomal RNA
Source: RNAcentral